UCUGUGGCUCAGAGGCAGAGCAUAUACUUUGCACAUAAAUGAUCCCAGGUUUAAUUCCUGGCAGCAGAA
This 69-nucleotide transfer RNA is filed under the name Sphaerodactylus townsendi. Its description in RNAcentral is "tRNA-Ala". It matches the Rfam family "tRNA", at positions 5 to 66 of the family's 71-position model. Rfam says of the family: Transfer RNA (tRNA) molecules are approximately 80 nucleotides in length. Their secondary structure includes four short double-helical elements and three loops (D, anti-codon, and T loops). The record is from RNAcentral. Lineage: Eukaryota; Metazoa; Chordata; Lepidosauria; Squamata; Sphaerodactylidae.